GCAAGUGCAACUCCCUCUUCCCGCCAAAUCCAAACAAAGAUUACUUAGAAGUUUUCUUCUUGGAAAUCCUAAUUUCAACUCUCUCUCUCACUCUCUGUUUUGCCAUUUCUUGGAAUUUUUUUCCUUGUUCUAAUUGAAAACUCAGGAGAUUUGGAUCAAAUUGCUUCAUUGAAUCUUGACGAAGGUAACUUUUUUCUCUCUUUCUUCUUCUUCUUACAAUCAUACAUAUAUAAUGUUGUGAGCAAUUUGUUUCACUUCUUCUGAUAUUACAUCAAGAUUGCUAUUUAUAUAGAUAAUACUAUUAUUGUUUCUUUUUCAAUUUUUUCUUUGGAAAUUGUUUCUUGAUGUAUUUACUCUGAUAAUUUUCUUUGGGUUUUUUCAUGAUUGAGAUCUAAGGCUAAUCCACCUAUUAAAAUUAUUAUAUUUCAUUCGUUGCAUUGUGUCAGUUAUCUUAUUUUCUUAAAAAGGCAUUCUUGUUUUGGGGAAUUAUAUUAGUCUAGGUGAUCUUUAGCUUAUGAAUAUGCCUACUUUGAUGUUGAUUGUGUGGUUGUGUUGAUGCUCGUUAGAGAAAUUUUGCUUCUGUUUUAUUCAGGAUAAUAUCAUCACUUUGGGGAUUUUUAGAAUCGACUUUCCAUUUUCGGUUGUUGUUGUCUAGGAAUUUUAUAUGGUUCUUCAUCAUCACAUGCAUUCUUUGUGUCUGUGACUUUACAUUAUAGUAUAACUGUGUAAGUGUGUGCUCAUACUACACACAUUGAAGUGGCCUAGCAUUUCGAUAAAGAUCUUGUUGACUUGUUGUUGAUGUUACCCUAAGAUUUAAAGUUCACUUUGUUUAGUUUUGUGUACAAUUGGCAGAUAUUUCAGUAAAGCGUUCUCUGGUUUUGCUUUUUUCGUCAUUAUGAACUGAUGUCAAUACUCACCAUAAGUUCGCAAAUAAGUAGAAAGUAACUUAUGGAUGCCUAAAAAAUAAGAUCUUGGUAUAUGUGGAUGGAAGCUUUAUGUUUUGAACUAUACUGCAAUCACCAUUACUUUGAAAUCUAUUAAUAGACAAACUUCUGUAAUUAUUUGAUAAGAAAGUUUUCGACUUAACCUACAAAUUUUGCAUGCAUCUGCAAUUCUAAAUUUAAGAGUAACAUGUAAAUUGAUAUUCUUUGGAGCUGGAAAGAAAACUCAUUACAAAUUGAUUAUUUUGUAGUUCCUACACUUUAACUCAUUAUAUUGUUGAUAUAUCAUUCAGAAUGCAAACUUAUACUGGAAUAAAUGGAAUCUGUGUUCUUUUUAAUGACAUGAACUUUAUUAAUUGUAACACGUAAUUGUUGUUGGGUUCAAUUUAGGCUGUUUUCCCUGAGCUCAAAUCAAUGUUCUAUAAAGAUUUGUCUCUUGGAUUUGAAUUGUCUGUGACAGUUGCUAAUUGCAUGAUCAUUUGCACCCAAAACUGCACUCCACUGCUUAAAUGAUCCUUCCGGUUAUACAUAGCUAAGGCCCAAAAGAUGCGGAUGCAAGUUGUGAUUACGUAGAGAAAAGUCGAACCAGUCCGAAAGGCUUAACCCUGUUACUCCAACUGCACAUACACUCAACUGGAGGGUGAUAGUUUACUUAUGCUAGCCAAGCCUAGACUUUAAAGUCCACGCAUAUCAGUAUCCGUUGAUGCGAUUUAUCGACUAAUAGCAUAUGUAGGUUUCUAGUUUUGAAUUAAAUGAAUUACUAGAGCUUUGUUGCCUAAUAUGUUGAAAAAACAGAGAUUAUGUAAUUGUAUGUUCAUAUUAUAAAGAGAAUUCCCUUUCUUCUUUUUUUUAUCUGAUAUGAGCUUAUUGCUUUUUAGGUGAGUAAAUACUGUGUCAACUACCUGAGGAAUUGAGGCAAAAAGAAAGAUAAUCACUCAAGAAGUGAAUUUUGACUAGGGACUCA
RNAcentral lists this long non-coding RNA (1905 nucleotides) under Aquilegia coerulea. RNAcentral's name for it is "long non-coding RNA (ACOE_LNC001260)". The record is from RNAcentral. Lineage: Eukaryota; Viridiplantae; Streptophyta; Magnoliopsida; Ranunculales; Ranunculaceae.